Bactrocera neohumeralis is the source of this 3233-nucleotide long non-coding RNA. RefSeq lists it as uncharacterized. Lineage: Eukaryota; Metazoa; Arthropoda; Insecta; Diptera; Tephritidae. The record is from RefSeq and is a predicted model, not a curated record. The transcript is spliced from 3 exons.
UAUAUAUGGUGAUAGUGACAUAAAUGGUGAGCUCAAAUGUGAGGAUUGACCCGCUAAACGCGGAUAACUACGAUACCUGGAAGUUGCACAUGCGGGCAAUUCUUGUGAAAGCUGACUUAUGGAGCUACGCAUCUGGAGCUAUACCUUUUCCAAACGACAAUAACGCAGCGAAGUGGAUACAUUUCGAUCAGAAGGCCUGUGUGUGUGCUAUCAGAACUGGGUCUGAUAACUGAAUGCGAAACUUCACACGAAAUGUGGAAAAAGUUAAAGUCUACGUUCCAGUCAAAGGGUCCUGCGCGAAAAGCCACCCUACCGAAACGUAUUGCACUCGCCCGCAUGAAGGAGGACGAUAACGUUCGCGAACAUCUAAACGAAUUUUUCCAUACUGUCAACUAAUUUAAGGAAAUAAAUGUUGGGGAUGAUUUAUUAACUAUAUUGCUUCUUUAUAGUUUACCAGAUUCGUUUGAGACGUUCCGAUGUGCGCUGGAAACUCGAGAUGAACUUCCCAAGCCAGACAUUUUAAGAGUUAAGAUACUGGAAGAAGAACAAUCCUGGCAAGCAAAAGAAGCAGCAACGGAGCAUAACGUGUUAAUUGCUCAACGAAGAACAAACAUCAGAUAUACAAAUGAUGGUACUCGUAAGUCUUCUAACAAUCACAACAAAAAGUCAACAAAAGAAAAGCAAGAUCAACGAACUUGCUACAAGUGCGGCGAAGUUGGUCACAUAUCGCCAAAUUGUCGAUCAAGACAAAAGAUAAAAAACUACAACACAACUACAGGAACGAAAAAAGAGAACUUCGAAAAAUCCAUGUUAUUCGAAUCGGCAUGUACAACAGUGGUCGGCAUGAGAGGAUCUGUCACUGUGUUGGUGAGCACGAAAAAAAAGUAGCCCAGUGAGAAAUUGGAAUGAAAAUUAAGCAUCUAAUCUUUUAAGGAUAUAUUCCCUAUUAUCUUUAAAAGACUUGGAAUAUAAAAGGCAUUGCAUGGUACCAAAGGCAUUUAGAAUCAUAAAAUAUUUCUCGCAAGGCAUAUUUGGUUUUGCGCUAUAAUAUUGCGUGAUGUUAAUUCGUUGCUGGCUCGACAACGACUGAACGAUAGAGCGUAAGCGUACGUGUGAAGUUAGUUUGCACAAUUGUGCUAAGAAAUGCCGACCACGAAAAAGAGCGAAUUCAAUAACUUUAGAGCAUACAUGGGCGUUUCGACUCACAUGAGCAGUUACUCUCAGCACACGUAUUCUUACGCUCUUAUUUCAGUCGCUAUUGAGAGCGAAAAAACCAGUUUUGCACUGUGGGAUAAUGAAUUGAUUUUCCUGCCAGUUGCGCUGCAGACAGCAACGAGGUAACAUAGGUAGUCGGUAUGUUGAUGUUUUUUUAUGCCCUAGUAUAUUUUUGCCCCAUUUGAAAUGUAUAACAUAAAUAAAAUGUUAUAAUUUCAGAUACCUUUGGUGGGGUAAAUUGGGAGUUGACUACUUUUAUUAGCAAACUAGUUAGCGGAAAUUUUAAGAUAAAGUUAAAAUUGUGAAGUUCUCGAGAAAUCAUGCUUAAAAAUAAGGCUUGCCUCGGCAUCGGAAAUCAUAAAGCAAUAUUUGUCAAUCAUUUUGAACAAACAAAUAUAGGUACGUGCAUAAAUAGUAUCAUAAAACAAUCAAGCGGCGCACGAUAUUGCUUCGCUGUUGUUUGUUAAUCAACUGACUGCAAAUGUUCUUUGUCCCAUGGUAGCCACUUUACGCUCGCGGUUACCAAUACAUCCAUACAUUUCAUUUGCCCAUCUCUGCUUUAGAGCAGAGGUCGGCAUUUCUUAGCACAAUUGUGCAAACUAACUUCACACGUACGCUUACUCUCUAUCGCACAGUAUAUAUAUAUACUGAGCUCUAUCGUUCAGUCGUGCCAGCACCGAAUUAACAUCACGCAAGACCAGGAAUAAUGGGAUGCCCAACUCCUCUCUCACUGGAAGUGAGAGAACAAUUGCUAAACGUCAAAACCACCUAAACUUUGACAGUUGACUGGAUUGGGGAGGUUUUGACGUUUAGAAUUGGAAACGAGCGAUGGCCAGAUUGAAAUCUUACCAAAAAAAUAUAUGAACGGAGGGAUUUGUUGCAUCGUUCAGGACCUCUUAUCAAAAAUGCAAAACAAUGAAAAUUAAAUAAAUUUGUGAAAUUUAAAGGUAUUUGAUGAAAUGUUUUGUAAUUUGAAACAUCAUAGUAUUACUUUCAAUUGAAAAUUAUUAAAAACUUUUAAUAAUUGAGAGCUAACAACCUUAAAUCCUAUUAUUGGGUAUUGAAAGGACAAAAGUCAGUUGUUAUAAUAUUCUUUAAAAAGAUUUAAAUAGUUUCUCCAUAUAAUAAAUAACCACUAUUUAGUAAUUUUUAUUCGUACUAAAUGUUGGGUAUUGGGUUAAUAAAUGCCCAAAAAUUGUUAUUUUGUUCGAUCUGGCCAUAAUGAAAAAUGUUAUAAAAAACGCUUAUUUUGGGGCGCUCUCACACUGGAAUAAGUUGGGCAUCCCAUUAUUCCUGCGCAAGACUAUAGCGCAAAACCAAAUAUGCCUUUUAUGUUCCAAGCCUUUUAAAGAUAAUAGGGAAUAUAUACUUAAAAGACAUUUUGUUAAUUUUCAUUAUACUAUUAAUUAUUUAGAUUAGAUGCUUAAUUUUAAUUCCAAUUUCUCACUGGGCUACUUUUUUUCGAGCUCACCAACACAGUGACAGAUCCUCUCAUGCCGACCACUGCUUUAGAGAGAUUAGCAAGACUCUCAGCUUAGCAAACAACAACACGGCUGAAAUCACGGGUAUAGGUACCGUUAAAGUUAUUAUCAACGAAAAUAAUCAGCCCUAUUCUGCAUUUCUACUCGAAUCGAAAUUUUCUCCGAUUGGCAACUUUGGUAUUCUGCGUUUCGAUUCAAUUUCGAAAAUUCCAAUUCUAUGUAUUCUGCAUUGCGAUGGUAAUUACGUUUUUGUACGUUGAAGUUUUGUUGGCGGAAAGCCGUUAUAUAUUCAUUUUCGUGCAUUUGGAUAAAAUAAUUUCCUCAAAUAUGUCAAAAGUAACAACGGCAGAGCAAUACGAAAAAUUGUAUGAUAUGAUGGCCACGAAAAGAGAUAUUGCGCAGGGUUUCCAAAAGCGACCGAAGGAAGAAGUACAGGAGUUUUGGGAGGAGGUUGCAAGGAAUUUAAAUGCACUUGGCCCACCAACAAAAAAUUCCAAUACAUGGAGAAAGGUCUGGAUUGACUGGAAAUGCUACAUG